UGAGACACGGUCCAGACUCCUACGGGAGGCAGCAGUAGGGAAUCUUCCGCAAUGGGCGAAAGCCUGACGGAGCAACGCCGCGUGAGUGAUGAAGGUCUUCGGAUCGUAAAACUCUGUUAUUAGGGAAGAACAUAUGUGUAAGUAACUGUGCACAUCUUGACAGUACCUAAUCAGAAAGCCACGGCUAACUACGUGCCAGCAGCCGCGGUGAUACGUAGGUGGCAAGCGUUAUCCGGAAUUAUUGGGCGUAAAGCGCGCGUAGGCGGUUUUUUAAGUCUGAUGUGAAAGCCCACGGCUCAACCGUGGAGGGUCGUUGGAAACUGGAAAACUUGAGUGCAGAAGAGGAAAGUGGAAUUCCAUGUGUAGCGGUGAAGUGCGCAGAGAUAUGGAGGAACACCAGUGGCGAAGGCGACUUUCUGGUCUGUAACUGACGCUGAUGUGCGAAAGCGUGGGGAUCAAACAGGAUUAGAUACCCUGGUAGUCCACGCCGUAAACGAUGAGUGCUAAGUGUUAGGGGGUUUCCGCCCCUUAGUGCUGCAGCUAACGCAUUAAGCACUCCGCCUGGGG
RNAcentral lists this ribosomal RNA (567 nucleotides) under uncultured Staphylococcus sp. Its description in RNAcentral is "bacterial SSU rRNA". It matches the Rfam family "Bacterial small subunit ribosomal RNA", at positions 320 to 878 of the family's 1533-position model. The record is from RNAcentral. Lineage: Bacteria; Bacillati; Bacillota; Bacilli; Caryophanales; Staphylococcaceae.